AACGAACGCUGGCGGCGCGCCUAAUACAUGCAAGUCGAGCGAGAAGGUGUAGCAAUACACUUGUAAAGCGGCGAACGGGUGAGGAAUACAUGGGUAAUCUACCAUCGAGUGGGGAAUAACCAACCGAAAGGUUGGCUAAUACCGCGUACGCCUCCGAGUCUUCGGGUUCGGAGGGAAAGCUGCACUGUGAGUGUAGCGCUCUUUGAUGAGCUCAUGUCCUAUCAGCUUGUUGGUAGGGUAACGGCCUACCAAGGCUUUGACGGGUAGCUGGUCUGAGAGGACGAUCAGCCACACUGGCACUGCGACACGGGCCAGACUCCUACGGGAGGCAGCAGUAAGGAAUAUUGGUCAAUGGACGCAAGUCUGAACCAGCCAUGCCGCGUGAAGGAUGAAGGUCCUCUGGAUUGUAAACUUCUUUUAUAUGGGACGAAAAAGGGCAUUCUUGCUCACUUGACGGUACCAUAGGAAUAAGCACCGGCUAACUCCGUGCC
Molecule: ribosomal RNA, 491 nt
Filed under: uncultured bacterium
Lineage: Bacteria
Description: bacterial SSU rRNA
Rfam family: Bacterial small subunit ribosomal RNA
Source: RNAcentral